AAUAUUUUUAAAGAGUAUUAUCAUUUGGUACAAUUUAAUUUCAGUUUUUAAAUGUUUGUCUUCUUCUGUUGGGAUACAGAGAGUUUAAAGGUAUGGUGAUUCCAUUCUAGAUAGGCAUUUCUUGAAAGGUUUUCCUUUUGGGUUGAUAUCAUCAGGCUUUUGGAAACCUGGAAUUAAGUCUGGUCUCUUCCCAACAUUCCCCCCACCCCGCCCCCGGUUUCUUGUUGGAGCUGACUUGUUUCCUGGACCCUCGCUGCAGGUUGCUGAAUGCGGAUGUAUUGGCCUUCUCAGGGCUCCAUAAGGGGAAAAAGCUGAUACCCAAGGCUCCACAUCUUCCUGGGGGUUCAGGGCUGAGGAAGCUUCUUGAAGCUGGCUGAUUCUUAGGCUAAGCUUCCCAUCAAAACGGACUUCCCCCAGCAGGCUUUCGAACAUACAUUUCCUAACCCAGAUGGCCUCGCCAGCCUGGACACCUGGCUGAGGAGGAGGAAGUGGCACCUCCUGUGUCCAAAUUAGUGCCGCUUCCGUGAUGGUGCUGGCGGUCUCAGCUGUGCUCCUGCCCGCCUUUCCCAUGGAGUGCCAGGGAGAUGCAGAGGGGCUUGCCCAGGGCACCUUCCCGCUGCAGCUCCAACAGGCACCAGGUCAGCCAAGGUGGAUAAAUUAUCCUUCCUUGGAAGGUCACUGCUCCAGGGGGUGGGGUGGGGGGCGCUCUUUUAAAGCCAAAUAAGGAAGAAGCAUGGAGUUCCCUGGUGGCCUAGUGGUUAAGGAUCUGGCAUUGUCACUGCUGGGGGUGAGGUUCAGUCCAGGCCCCGGAAGUUCAACAUGCCAUCAGCAUGGCCAAAGAGGGGAAAAAAAAAAUUAGCAAGAAGCAAGAUCAUCUCUAGGGGAAACAGUGCAGUGGCCUCCUUGUUCUGGGUGCCCUUAGCCUGUUUUACUGCCUUUCUCCCUCCCUGUCCCUUAAGGCACACCCUGAAAAUGUACCUUUAUAGCACUUGGGGGGGGCACCUGGAACCCUGCCUUUUCUCCAGCCUGUUCUAGGCAAUGACCUUGGUGUCAGUCAUUUACACACUGGUGUGAAUGCAGGGUACUGGAUUUUGGACACGGAAGUAGGGGUGAGGAAGAGCUUCAGGUAGGGGCUUUCAGAUGUGUCUCCUUCUUACUCUCCAAAACCACUCCAUGUAAAUGAUCCUUUUCUGAGCAUCCAGUGGAUUCAGAGAUAUUUAGAUGAAGCAGGAGGUGGAUUAAUCACGUCCUCCUCAGAAUCCGAAUGGUUUUGGCAAACUCUGUGGUCUGACACCACUCAUACUUGAGUGACGACUUCUAAAAAUAUACCUUGUGUUUUUUUCAAAGCUCUUUUUUUCUGGCAUACAGAAUUUCCUGGGUCAGGGAUCUGUGACUACACCACAGCUGCGGCCACACCGAUCCUUAACCCCCUGUACUGGGCUGGGGGGCCGGGGAUCGAACCUGAGCCACAGUAGAGACAACCCCAGAUCCUUAACCCACUGCGCCACAGGGAGAACUCCUAAAAGCUCUUUUCAUUUAAACCGUGUGAUGUGCCCGUACAAACCUUCAAAAUUUUUCACUUGGGCAGUGAGUGGAUACACCCACAAAUACAAAAGUAAACCUGAGGUGUUAAGACAGGCAGGCAGGGAUGAUGAAGAUUUAACUUGUAGGACUGUCACCCUCAAGCCACAGGAAUUCUCCAGAAUGAACACAGAGAACGCAGCAUCCUCAUACAUCCUGGCCUGUGCUCAGGCUGACAUCUGCAUGGUGACACAUUACUGACAGGUAACUCGAUGGACUGAAACACAUCAAUCCAAAGACCAGCCCAAGGAAAGCCUUGUUAAAUUAUACCAUGGUCCAGAAGCUCUAUUUCCAGGCCUUUGGGCCCAGAGGCAGGCAGUACACGGUGACCGGUGGUCAUGUUUAGGGUUAGGGUCCUGGUUGGAAGAAUUACAUCUCCUGACAACCAGGCAGACUAUUCAGAGAAUCCUGUUACCAGGGGAGCUCCUCCUUACCUGAUAGCAGCUGGUCCUCAGGGAUGCCUCCCAGGCCUGGGCUGGUGGUGGAGAUCUGGCUGACCCACCCUGUAUCUCUGGAUGUCAUCAGCAUCCUGGCAUCGAUAGCAAAAUGAGAAGCAGUUAAAGUUUAUGUCUGCUUUGCAGUGUUUGGGCAACAUGGCCUUUCUCUCUUGCGGUCUUGGCCUUCGCUGGUUAGCUUGAGAUUUCUCCUAGCAAAAGCCUGGGCUCUUCCCUCUGAAUGAGACCUGAAAAUUCAUCUGGUCUGCCUCAUCGACUGCAGAUGGGAAAACCGAGAUAUCCUUCUUUAAACCUAUGGUGGGAAGAUGUUGCCUCCAGGCCGUGCAAAGCCCCACAGAUACCCAGGAAGGAAAGGCUAGCCCUGGGGGACUUCUCUGGCAGCCUCUGUGUUCCAGAUUCGUUUCACAGGCGAGCCUGGGAGGUUAUUUCUGUCGAAGGCACAGGGAGCCAAGCUUUAAGAAGAUAAAAUAGAGGAUAUGCAUUUUCUCAGGUAGAAAGAACUUGGGAGAAAGGCUGUGCCUGACCCUCCUUGUCAGAAAAAGACUCUGAAGUCCAGAGUGGUCCCAGGGUCCAUCUAAGGGGACAGAGCUCUAAGGCAGGCUUGUGGUGGGUUGGAUGGGGCUCCGGGGAAUGGUUGACAUUUCAGCAACCAAGAUACAGAGGAAAGAGGGUUGGGGAAGGGAAUGGUGCCAGUGGAGGUCGUGGGCUCCAUGACACUUGGGAGAAGGUGUAGGUGGCAGCUACAUGAGACCACAUGGGACCUUUACAGAUCUGCACCGUGGUGGGCCAAUAUGAAAAGGGGUAAUUAUAAUAAUUAUAUAAUUAUUAUAUUAAUUGUUAUUAUUAUUACGGGCCCUCCAUACAUCAGUUUUAUUAGGCGUUCAGUAGAAUAAUGCAUCCUGUAGAAUACAUUUCAUUAAGUCCUAGUCUUAGAACCAUUUUUGUGAAGGUUGGGAGAAUGUAAAGGCCCCGUGCAAUGGACUAGUGCCAGGUCCAUCGGGGGUUCCCAUAGGUGGGCAAGGUCUCAGGCAGCUCCUUUCCUGCAGCCCCGGGCUCCAUACUGCAAGAGUGGGAGUGUCAGGAGCUGCCCAGCCACUCCUAUGCCCGGUGUGACUUCAGAGCGGUUGCCCAUACAGGGUAGAAAAUGAAGUGGAUAGGGGCCUUUGGCUCUGCCCCCAUGCAACUGGCAGAUUCUGCGAUCAAGUAGCGCUCCCUGUCUGUGGCUUAGGAAUAAGGGGACAUGGCCAGUGUACCUCUUGUGACAGGGGUACCCUUGUCUUGGUCUUCUGCUGUGAUCCCUGCUGGAGCACCCACUUCCACUUCUGGUCCCCCUUAAAUGCAAGAAAUCUGACUUCUAGGCCAACUGGAUUCUUUAGAGGGCCAGCUUUCUGGCUCUCCCCAUGAGCCCACCUCCAAGAGGCCUCCGGAUGGCAAGCUCCCCUUUGGCUGCCAGAGCAGGAGAGGUCCUUGGGCAAGGCUGUCAGACCCCCAUAGUGAGUUGGCUGCAUUGUGUGCAUGUGGGGUUGUGGCUCUGGCAAAGCCACGGCUCCAAGAGAGAAUGCAAAAUGCCCUAGAAGUUGGCCUCCUGCCCCCACAAACGUGGUAAUUCCAAAUGUCACCUUGGCAUUUCCUUCUCAAAUAAAUUCUGUCUUGUUCCUAUUACAAGAAAACUGGAAACAUGGACUGCGGAACUUCUGUGUUUAUUUCUCAGUCCUCUGAUUGAGUUGCUGUGUGACAUGUUGAACUAUUAAAUUUCUUCCAUGGAUAAAUGUGAACAUGGACUUGGAGAUUUUUAUCUGUUGAGUACUGGAGGCCUGUGGUUUAUUUUGAGUCAAAGAAAAAAAAUUUGGACUUCCAUUGUGUGUGUGUGUUUGGGAAAAGGAUGUAAGGCAAAGAGUAGCCAAUAUUAAAUGACUGUGAAGAGCCGUAUAGAUGUUUUUUAAAAAUCACAGAUGGUUCAAAAGUUAGGAGGUCACUUGAUAACACUGCCAUCAGAAAUGAAGGAAUAAGGAAGAUGUGGUAUCCAUGAGGACAAAGGUUCGAUCCCUGGCCUCACUCAGUGGGUUGAGGAUCGGGCGUUGCCGUGAGCCGGGGUGUAGGUCACAGACUCAGCUUGGAUCCCACGUUGCUGUGGCUCUGGCGUGGGCCAGCAGCUAUAGCUCAGAUUUGACCUCUAGCCUGGGAACUUCCAUAUACCAUGGGUG
Molecule: long non-coding RNA, 4240 nt
Filed under: Sus scrofa (pig)
Lineage: Eukaryota; Metazoa; Chordata; Mammalia; Artiodactyla; Suidae
Description: lncRNA (ENSSSCG00040058302.1)
Source: RNAcentral